Molecule: ribosomal RNA, 410 nt
Filed under: uncultured soil bacterium
Lineage: Bacteria
Description: bacterial SSU rRNA
Rfam family: Bacterial small subunit ribosomal RNA
Source: RNAcentral
AGAAUGAACGCUGGCGGCGUGCUUUACACAUGCAAGUUGAGCGAGGCCACCCGCAAGGGUGAGUCGAGCGGCGAACGGGUGAGUAACGCGUGGAUAACCUGCCCUUUAGUGGGGAAUAACCCGGGGAAACUCGGGCUAAUACCGCAUGAGACCGAGAGGUGAAAGCGGGGUCGCAAGAUCUCGUGCUAAUGGAGGGGUCCGCGUUCGAUUAGCUAGUUGGUAGGGUAAUGGCCUACCAAGGCGACGAUCGAUAGCCGGCCUGAGAGGGUGAUCGGCCACACUGGAACUGAGACACGGUCCAGACUCCGUACGGGAGCAGCGAGUGGGAAUUUGCGCAAGUGGCUAACGCCUGACGCAGCCAACGCCGCGUGGAGGACUGUAAGUCGUUUGGAUUACGUAAACUCUGUCAG